Molecule: ribosomal RNA, 303 nt
Filed under: uncultured bacterium
Lineage: Bacteria
Description: partial 16S ribosomal RNA
Rfam family: Bacterial small subunit ribosomal RNA
Source: RNAcentral
AGCAGUCGCGCGGUAAUACGGAGGGUGCAAGCGUUAUCCGGAUUUAUUGGGUUUAAAGGGUCCGUAGGCGGACUUAUAAGUCAGUGGUGAAAGCCUGUCGCUUAACGAUAGAACUGCCAUUGAUACUGUAAGUCUUGAGUAUAUUUGAGGUAGCUGGAAUAAGUAGUGUAGCGGUGAAAUGCAUAGAUAUUACUUAGAACACCAAUUGCGAAGGCAGGUUACCAAGAUAUAACUGACGCUGAGGGACGAAAGCGUGGGUAGCGAACAGGAUUAGAGACCCCCGUAGUCCCUGUCUCUUAUACA